GCACUUGCCAGUUGUGAUGGUUUUAUUUCCUUUAUAGAAAAUUUGUUUGCAACCAAUGGCUUGCUACCUAAAGAAAAGCCUGUAAAAAUGCCUCUUCUUCUUGCUCUAAGCCCUCUCUUGGAAUGUAAUAUUUUUACUAUGGACUAUUGAACUUCUUAUCAUUUUCGAGAUCCCCACUAUGAACUUCUUAUGACAACUGUAGAUUCAGUGUCCAAUGCAAGUAUUGUCCUUUUACUAUAGUCAAUUUUAGGGACCUCUUGACACUUGAGGGCUAGAAGCUGCAAAUUCAUGAGAGCUUAGAUGUAAGUACUCCUUUGGAUAUUUUUUCUCUGAUUUCUGAACAGGUUUUUGUAACAGUGAAAAUUUAUUGCUGCCUAUAGCGUGGAGUGUAUGUGUCCUGUUUGAGCUUCGCCAGCUUGUAGAAGGCACAUUUCUGUCCCUACAUUUUAUUUUUCACCAAUGGCGAAACUUGUGUAGCCGUUUGUCACUAUUUACUUUUUUGUUUUUUUCAGCGAACAUGCAUUUUGGAGAGACCAACUUGAAUGUGCGGAGCAGUCGAUCACACAGUAUUUUCAUAAUGGUAUAGAAUUCUGAAUUCCUAAGCAAUUUUGUAAUUGCAGCUGUUCUAAGACCAUUUUUGUAGUUGAAUGGAAGCGAUAACUGAAUCAAGAAUGUUCUAUUUAUAUCGGUCUCAGGUAAUUGUGAGCAGCAGUAGAGACUAAGCAGUUCUGUAAUUGGAUUUGUUCUAAGACCAUUUUCUGUAGUUGCAUGGAAGCAAUAACUGAAUCAAGAAUGCUCUAUUUAUAUCGAUCUCAGCUAUUCUAAGACCACUGCUAUUUUGUAAUAGAUGUCAGUGCUUAUUACUGGUCAAUCCUCCUCAGCUACACUCAAAUCUGAAGUUCGUUCAUCUCUUUAGAAGAGAAACAAAGCUAAUUUCAGAAGUCGAAUAUUACCUGACUAACCUCAUUUUAGCAGAGAUGUUUAUAAUAGAUGUCAGUGCUCACUCGCUCUCAAUGGAGGAAAGUGAGUUUCAGAAACAUAUGGAAUCAGCAAGACUAGCUACUCAAGUAUCUAUUGCAAGCCCAAGUAGCUCACAUGGGCUUCCCACAUCUGCAAGGGCAAAUCAGGAGGAAACUGAUAUGGCAGGUACGGAUGAGGGAUAUCCGUGGUCAAGUUUGAUGCUUCAGGACCAAUAUCGUUGCAUGUCGAUGUUGGUGGUAUCUGAAUGGGGGUAAAGAUAUAGAGAGGGAUUUUUUUCUUCAAAUGAUGAUUUAUCGUUGCGUGUCGAUGCUGGUGUUAUCUGAAUGGGGGUAUGCGGUCGGCGCUCAUGCGACACAGACCCACGAUUCUCCUUGGACGUCGGCCGCAUGUCAGUCGGUGACAUGGGCUUGAAGCCUAGGACGAGCCCCGU
Zea mays is the source of this 1411-nucleotide long non-coding RNA. RefSeq lists it as uncharacterized. The record is from RefSeq and is a predicted model, not a curated record. The transcript is spliced from 3 exons. Lineage: Eukaryota; Viridiplantae; Streptophyta; Magnoliopsida; Poales; Poaceae.